This 253-nucleotide ribosomal RNA is filed under the name uncultured bacterium. Its description in RNAcentral is "partial 16S ribosomal RNA". It matches the Rfam family "Bacterial small subunit ribosomal RNA", at positions 524 to 776 of the family's 1533-position model. The record is from RNAcentral.
UACGUAGGGUGCAAGCGUUGUCCGGAAUUAUUGGGCGUAAAGGGCUCGUAGGCGGUCCAUCGCGUCGGGAGUGAAAAGCUGGGGCUUAACCCCAGUCCUGCUUCCGAUACGGGUGGACUAGAGGUAGGUAGGGGAGAUCGGAAUUCCUGGUGUAGCGGUGAAAUGCGCAGAUAUCAGGAGGAACACCCGUGGCUAAGGCGGUUCUCUAGUACGGUACUGACGCUGAGACGCGAAAGCGUGGGGAGCGAACAGG